RNAcentral lists this unclassified non-coding RNA (329 nucleotides) under soil metagenome. RNAcentral describes it as "partial contains 5.8S ribosomal RNA, internal transcribed spacer 2, and large subunit ribosomal RNA". The stretch from base 1 to 120 matches the Rfam family "5.8S ribosomal RNA", at positions 35 to 154 of the family's 154-position model. The record is from RNAcentral.
GAUGAAGAACGCAGCUAAAUGCGAUAAGUAAUGUGAAUUGCAGAAUUCAGUGAAUCAUCGAAUCUUUGAACGCACAUUGCGCCCCUUGGUAUUCCGGGGGGCAUGCCUCUUCCAGCGUCAUUUCACCCCUCAAGCUCUGCUUGGUUUUGGGCCGCGCCGGCAACGGCGGGCCUCGAAAAUAGUGGCGACGCCAUCGUGCUCUCAGCGUAGUAAUUCUUCUCGCUGUUGGGUCCCGGUGGUCGUCCGCCAGCAACCCCCAACUUUCUUAAGUUUGACCUGGGAUGAGGUAGGGAUACCCGCUGAACUUAAGCAUAUCAAUAAGCGGAGGA